GUCAAUUGUGGACAAGCUGUGGUGGUUAUCAGUUAAAAACAAAGUGAUAAAAGGUACUUUCACAUCACUUCAGGGAGACAGUUUUCCGACGGUCCAGUCCGUUAGAAAAUUCAAAAAUAGAGCACUGCGUUUAACCUUUUUGAGGGCGGGAACUGUUUGGGUUAGAACUGGCUGGCAGUUGUUUUUUUAAUUUUCAUGUCCGCGCGGCAUGGCUCGGCUGCGGUGAGACAUCCGCGCUGCUCCGCGGUCACUCAAACACUGCGAGAUAAAAACCUCGUGUGAUUAUAAACUUAUGAGCUGAACUUUUUUGUUGUGUGCGUCGCGCCGCUGUGUGGGUGGAGGCUUUGUAAAGUUUUCACUCACGUUUUCACGGGCGCUGCUGGACCCUUGAAGACGUUGAUGAAAUGUUACAAGCUGGGUUUAGAGUUUGUUUUUCCUGGAACUGGCGAGAGUGCGAGUUGGCACCUGCCGGCUGGCGCGGGGCCACAGUGUGGCCGGUGCUUUAUCUAAAUAGGUUAAUGCGCGUACCUCGCUCCUUGAGUUGUAUUCCUUAGUAUUGUGUGCUUCUAUUACUGCUACAACACCUUUAUCUUUGAGUUCGUGAUUCGCGGGAUAUUUGCUUAUUAGAACAUGUGGAAUUCUCCACUGAUUUAUUACUUAAUGCGAAAUAAAUUAUAAUUUAUAAUACACCUA
Plutella xylostella (diamondback moth) is the source of this 693-nucleotide long non-coding RNA. RefSeq lists it as uncharacterized. The record is from RefSeq and is a predicted model, not a curated record. NCBI's taxonomy places the organism in Eukaryota, Metazoa, Arthropoda, Insecta, Lepidoptera, Plutellidae.